UACGUAGGUGGCAAGCGUUGUCCGGAUUUACUGGGCGUAAAGAGCGCGCAGGCGGUCGUUCAAGUCGCGUGUGAAAGCCCCCGGCUCAACUGGGGAGGGUCACGCGAUACUGAUCGACUCGAAGGCAGGAGAGGGUAGUGGAAUUCCCAGUGUAGAGGUGAAAUUCGUAGAUAUUGGGAAGAACACCGGUGGCGAAGGCGGCUCACUGGCCCGAAACUGACGCUCAUGCACGACAGCGUGGGGAUCAAACAGG
Molecule: ribosomal RNA, 253 nt
Filed under: uncultured bacterium
Lineage: Bacteria
Description: partial 16S ribosomal RNA
Rfam family: Bacterial small subunit ribosomal RNA
Source: RNAcentral